RNAcentral lists this ribosomal RNA (424 nucleotides) under uncultured Alloprevotella sp. RNAcentral describes it as "bacterial SSU rRNA". It matches the Rfam family "Bacterial small subunit ribosomal RNA", at positions 355 to 776 of the family's 1533-position model. The record is from RNAcentral. Lineage: Bacteria; Pseudomonadati; Bacteroidota; Bacteroidia; Bacteroidales; Prevotellaceae.
UGAGGAAUAUUGGUCAAUGGGCGGAAGCCUGAACCAGCCAAGUAGCGUGCAGGAAGACGGCCCUCCGGGUUGUAAACUGCUUUUAGUUGGGAAUAAAACGGGGCUCGUGAGCCCCCUUGCAUGUACCAUCAGAAAAAGGACCGGCUAAUUCCGUGCCAGCAGCCGCGGUAAUACGGAAGGUCCGGGCGUUAUCCGGAUUUAUUGGGUUUAAAGGGAGCGCAGGCGGACCUUUAAGUCAGCUGUGAAAUACGGCGGCUCAACCGUCGAACUGCAGUUGAUACUGGAGGUCUUGAGUGCACACAGGGAUGCUGGAAUUCAUGGUGUAGCGGUGAAAUGCUCAGAUAUCAUGAAGAACUCCGAUCGCGAAGGCAGGCAUCCGGGGUGCAACUGACGCUGAGGCUCGAAAGUGCGGGUAUCAAACAGG